RNAcentral lists this ribosomal RNA (253 nucleotides) under uncultured bacterium. RNAcentral's name for it is "partial 16S ribosomal RNA". It matches the Rfam family "Bacterial small subunit ribosomal RNA", at positions 524 to 776 of the family's 1533-position model. The record is from RNAcentral.
UACGAAGGGGGCUAGCGUUGCUCGGAAUCACUGGGCGUAAAGCGCACGUAGGCGGAUUGCUAAGUCAGGGGUGAAAUCCUGGAGCUCAACUCCAGAACUGCCUUUGAUACUGGCGAUCUCGAGUCCGAGAGAGGUGAGUGGAACUGCGAGUGUAGAGGUGAAAUUCGUAGAUAUUCGCAAGAACACCAGUGGCGAAGGCGGCUCACUGGCUCGGUACUGACGCUGAGGUGCGAAAGCGUGGGGAGCAAACAGG